GAGGCCAUUGCUAUUGGAGUCCGAUUUAGCCAUGCUAGUUGUACGAGUUUACACUCGUAGCAGAUAGCUCAGUAACACGUGGCCAAACUACCCUCUGGAGCGCAAUAACCUCGGGAAACUGAGGCUAAUGGCGCAUACCGCUCGACGCCUGGAACUGGCUCGAGCUCGAAACGCUCCGGCGCCAGAGGAUGUGGCUGCGGCCGAUUAGGUAGACGGUGGGGUAACGGCCCACCGUGCCAAUAAUCGGUACGGGUUGUGAGAGCAAGAGCCCGGAGACGGUAUCUGAGACAAGAUACCGGGCCCUACGGGGCGCAGCAGGCGCGAAACCUUUACACUGCACGCCAGUGCGAUAAGGGGACUCCAAGUGCGAGGGCAUAACGUCCUCGCUUUUCGUGACCGUAAGGUGGUCACAGAAUAAGGGCUGGGCAAGACCGGUGCCAGCCGCCGCGGUAAUACCGGCAGCCCAAGUGAUGGCCGCUCUUAUUGGGCCUAAAGCGUCCGUAGCUGGCCGCGCAAGUCCAUCGGGAAAUCCGCACGCCUAACGUGCGGGCGUCCGGUGGAAACUGCGUGGCUUGGGACCGGAAGAUCCAGAGGGUACGUCUGGGGUAGGAGUGAAAUCCUGUAAUCCUGGACGGACCACCGGUGGCGAAAGCGCUCUGGAAGGACGGAUCCGACGGUGAGGGACGAAAGCUCGGGUCACGAACCGGAUUAGAUACCCGGGUAGUCCGAGCUGUAAACGAUGUCUGCUAGGUGUGCCACAGGCUACGAGCCUGUGGUGUGCCGUAGGGAAGCCGUGAAGCAGACCGCCUGGGAAGUACGUCCGCAAGGAUGAAACUUAAAGGAAUUGGCGGGGGAGCAC
Molecule: ribosomal RNA, 859 nt
Filed under: uncultured archaeon
Lineage: Archaea
Description: bacterial SSU rRNA
Rfam family: Archaeal small subunit ribosomal RNA
Source: RNAcentral